This 301-nucleotide ribosomal RNA is filed under the name uncultured bacterium. RNAcentral's name for it is "partial 16S ribosomal RNA". It matches the Rfam family "Bacterial small subunit ribosomal RNA", at positions 509 to 807 of the family's 1533-position model. The record is from RNAcentral.
CAGUCGCCGCGGUAAUACGUAGGUGGCAAGCGUUGUCCGGAAUUAUUGGGCGUAAAGGGCUCGCAGGCGGUUUCUUAAGUCUGAUGUGGAAGCCCCCGGCUCAACCGGGGAGGGUCAUUGGAAACUGGGAAACUUGAGUGCAGAAGAGGAGAGUGGAAUUCCACGUGUAGCGGUGAAAUGCGUAGAGAUGUGGAGGAACACCAGUGGCGAAGGCGACUCUCUGGUCUGUAACUGACGCUGAGGAGCGAAAGCGUGGGGAGCGAACAGGAUUAGAUACCCCAGUAGUCCCUGUCUCUUAUAC